RNAcentral lists this long non-coding RNA (2379 nucleotides) under Felis catus (domestic cat). RNAcentral describes it as "lncRNA (ENSFCAG00000043863.2)". Lineage: Eukaryota; Metazoa; Chordata; Mammalia; Carnivora; Felidae. The record is from RNAcentral.
GCUCAACUGAGGAGGCGAUAGAAGUGGUAGCAACUUCAUUUUAUUUAAAAAAAACGUUUUCCUCAGGUUUCUGGCAAGGGCUGCUGUUAGUUGCUUGUUGGAACCCUCUCUAGCACUGUCUCCUCCCCCCUUGCUCUCAUCCAACCUUCCUCCUUGGCCCACAGUCUCUGAGUUUGGACACAGACCCUGCAACGUGUGCUCUACUUUCUGGGUCUAUUUUGGUGAAGGGUCCUGCCUCCUUUCAAGGGGCUGUCCCUGCCGUCCUUUUGUUUUGUUUGCUGCACACAAUUGGCCCUUCUUUUCCAUGGUCAGGGUCUCUCUGCCUCUCCCCCACUGGGGGCUGGUGCUGGACCGAGGAUCAGCAUCAGGAAAAAUAUCCCCUCCAGAGGGGGGGCCAUGGAGCAUUUCCCCCGGUCGGCUCUAUCUUUGCUGCAUACCAAUCCAAUUACAAACAAAUUGGCCCACAGGUUCAAGCAUGAGAGCGAUUUGGACUUCUCUCCUCCCUUGCUGACAGUUUUAAACCUGUUUUCUUUAAAAACCCAACUCUGGGAAGAAAGUUUAGCACCCAAGCUCAAGAGAGGUGGGAUGCAAUCAUCCCAGAUAUCAGGGUAUAGUGAGGCUCAGAGAAGGAACUUUGAAUUCUAUUUUUCAGGAAUAAUUGAAACAAAAAGAGGUUCCCGGGGAUUUACCUGUGACUGCAGGUUGGCAGCAGGAGGCUGGUCUUUUCAGAUCACCUGUCACUUCCUAUCAGCAUACCAGUCACACUUCUCCUGUGAGGAUCUGUGUGGAGUUUCUGGGGGAAGUCUAGCUCACUUGUGCUGAGAUGCUCAGCUGGCAGGGAGCCCGAGACCACUCCAUCAUCGCAGGUCACAUCGGAAAGCCUCAUCAGAACUGCUCUUCUCUUCAGAAAGAUGUCUCAGAGGGUUUCCAGGGUGAUUCAGAACAUCCUCCUGAGAUGCUGAGAGACUCAGGUCAGAGGAUGCGUCUAGACGCAGGUAUGUACUCUGCUGGAGACCUGGGUAUGUAUGCGCGUACUCUGUUCGGGGGUGGGUGGAGGGGGAAAGUCUAUAGACCGGCUGGGGGAACCAACAGGUACAGCAUGAUUACAAGUCAGACAAAUAUUAUGACGGGGAGAAGGAUGUGGUGAGGGCACAAAGAAAGGGUACAUAACCUUCACAGAGCAGGAGGACCUUCCAGAAGAAAUGGCAACGGUGCAUAAGACUGCUAAUGACAUAGCCACAGUCUCUGUGAUGAGACCUCAGAAACUGACCUGAGAACAGAGGUGUGUGUCGCUGAGGGGAAACUUGCGGGGGGACUACUUUCAUUAGAUCCACUUGGAUGAACGGCAGCGGCCCCAUAGCCAUGCCCACGGAUUCUGCAACUACACUUUGAUGGCCUUUGACUUUACAUUGAAGAUACAUGAGAAGAUAGGAGACGAAGAUGACUCCUCCCUCAGUUUAGUUACAGCACCUGCCUCACCUCUUCUGAGCUUCCAGCCCUUGGGUCGCAAUGAAAAAGAAGAUGCAGGGAUCAUCCUGUUCAACUGUCAAGUUUGGGGGUGAAUGAAAUAUCCAUAAGGGAUCUCCCAGAAGCCAGAAAACUCAUAUUUACUUUCAACCAGGGAGAAUUUGAACCUAUGUCUCCAGACUUAAAAGUCUAGGAUAUUAAUUCAUUGUGACAUCUGGUCCUUCUCUUCGAUAUUUUAAAAAUAGGCUAGAAACAGAAUUGUGAAUCCAUGCUCCAAAGCGCUCCACUCAGAUUCUGGGAAAGAAUGCAACUCUGAGUUUAUCUUGUUUAUCCAACUAGUCUCUGGUCAUUUGUGUAACAUGAUAUUUCUUCCAUUGGAUGCUGUAAGCCAAUUUCUAGCACAAGGUUUCCAUUUUGUUUUAAUCAUCCAUGAAAGAAAAGAAUGUGGGAAUGUCUGUGUUGCCAUUUUCUAGGACUGUGGUGGCACCAGUAGCUGGCUGCUGGCUUCUAGUCUUUGCUGCAGCCACUUGAGAAUGUGAGAUUCUCUACGAAUCCUAGAAUUUUGGAACUAGAAAGAAAAUUUAGCAGUACGUAACAAGAACCAUAAAGAUGCUCAUACCUUUUAUUCCAGUCAACCCACCCUAAUGAAUUUCAAAGAAAUAUCACUCACCAGACCUGCAAAUAUGCAUUUUCAAAGAUGUUCACUCUAGAUUUUUUUUUUGUAGUAAAAAAAUGAGAAAUCACCAAGAUGUUCAACAUUAUGGACCUUGAUUUAAACGUUGGGGUACAUUAACUUCAAGGAAUAUUCUGCAGCCCUAAAAUAAUUAUAAAGCUGCUUUACAUUCACAAAUGUCUAUGGAAAGCCUACUAUGUAGCUGUGCCCUAAGAUAAUAAAGAAAUAUGCAGACUUCA